This is a long non-coding RNA of Apteryx haastii (Great spotted kiwi), 687 nucleotides long. Lineage: Eukaryota; Metazoa; Chordata; Aves; Apterygiformes; Apterygidae. The record is from Ensembl.
AUGCUUCGGCAGGCAGCAGGCGAGGGCAGGGGGUGCCGCGCCCCGGCGGCAUGGGAAACGGGGAACCCAGCACCAGCCGGGGCUGCCCCAUGGGCAGGGCCGGUCCCUCAGGGGCCACAUUGGGCGGGCAGGGAGAAGGAGGACAAAGAAAAACCACGGACCGCCUUCGGCCCGGUGCCCAGCGCGCCCCGGGCGAUCGCGGCAGCUAGCGGUCACGGUGCCGUCCCGGGCGCCGCGGCAGCCCGCGGAGGCAGCGCAGCCCCCGCCCCGCCGCGCCGCGCCGCCCCCCCGCGGGCCCCGCGCUCACGUGGGGCGGUGCCGGCUCCCCCCGCCCGCGGCUCCGCCCCGCCCCGCCCGACGCCGCUCCCCAUUGGCUGCUCCGCGGCGGCUGCGCCUCCGGCGGCGGGCGGGCCCCUUUGUGACGUCACAAUCAGCUGUUUGAACGUUCUAAUUUCUGCUCCGGGAUCAGCUGGGCGAGGAGCGACACCAGAGGAUACAGCGGCGGCCCGGGCGCGCCCGCCGCUCGGCUCUUCUCGCCUCUGCUUUGGGGGGUGUUUUUGGCUUUCUCGUGGUGUUCUUGUUUACAAAGCAGCCGAUGAUAUUAAAGGCAAGGCCUUUGCACUGAAGCCAAGUGAAGAACCUCAAAAUUGCACUAUACAUCAUUUAACUCAGCUAAGAUUUUGCUAG